GCUGCUCGGGGGGUGCUGUGCUCCUCUCCCUGAAUCACAGGCUGCCGCUGGGGAGGAAGGACGACACAUUCGGCUCCCUGUAAUUUGCACUGCCGCUGGGGAGGAAGGACGACACCUUCGGCUCCCUGUAAUUCGCACUGCCGCUGGGGAGGAAGGACGACACCUUCGGCUCCCUGUAAUUCGCACUGCCGCUGGGGAGGAAGGACGACACCUUCGGCUCCCUGUAAUUCGCACUGC
This is a non-coding RNA of Pelobates cultripes (western spadefoot toad), 237 nucleotides long. NCBI's taxonomy places the organism in Eukaryota, Metazoa, Chordata, Amphibia, Anura, Pelobatidae. The record is from the annotation of a GenBank genome assembly.